UACAUUAAAUCACGUGUGAUGAAUGUG
RNAcentral lists this small RNA (27 nucleotides) under Bombyx mori (domestic silkworm). RNAcentral's name for it is "ovarian small RNA-20449". The record is from RNAcentral. Lineage: Eukaryota; Metazoa; Arthropoda; Insecta; Lepidoptera; Bombycidae.